This 460-nucleotide ribosomal RNA is filed under the name uncultured bacterium. RNAcentral describes it as "partial 16S ribosomal RNA". It matches the Rfam family "Bacterial small subunit ribosomal RNA", at positions 377 to 795 of the family's 1533-position model. The record is from RNAcentral.
CCUCCUCUGUUCUUCCUUUCUUCCUCUUUCUCCCUUUUCUCCCUCCUGCCCCCGCCCCGUCGCGUGCCGGAUGACGGCCCUACGGGUUGUAAACUGCUUUUAUACGGGAAUAACGCGCCUUACGUGUAGGGCUUUGCAUGUACCGUAUGAAUAAGGACCGGCUAAUUCCGUGCCAGCAGCCGCGGUAAUACGGAAGGUACGGGCGUUAUCCGGAUUUAUUGGGUGUAAAGGGAGCGUAGGCCGCAUGUCAAGCGUGCUGUGAAAUGUCCGGGCUCAACCCGGGCCUUGCAGCGCGAACUGGCGUGCUUGAGUCCGCGGAAAGCAGGCGGAAUUCGUCGUGUAGCGGUGAAAUGCUUAGAUAUGACGAAGAACCCCGAUUGCGAAGGCAGCUUGCUGCAGCGGAACUGACGCUGAUGCUCGAAAGCGCGGGUAUCGAACAGGAUUAGAUACCCUAGUAGUC